GCUACCAUAGCUCAGUGGUUAGAGCACUGGUCUUGUAAACCAGCGGUCGCGAGUUCGAGUCUCACUGGCGGCU
RNAcentral lists this transfer RNA (73 nucleotides) under Stegodyphus dumicola. RNAcentral describes it as "tRNA-Thr". It matches the Rfam family "tRNA". Rfam says of the family: Transfer RNA (tRNA) molecules are approximately 80 nucleotides in length. Their secondary structure includes four short double-helical elements and three loops (D, anti-codon, and T loops). Lineage: Eukaryota; Metazoa; Arthropoda; Arachnida; Araneae; Eresidae. The record is from RNAcentral.